This 324-nucleotide ribosomal RNA is filed under the name uncultured Bacillota bacterium. RNAcentral describes it as "bacterial SSU rRNA". It matches the Rfam family "Bacterial small subunit ribosomal RNA", at positions 28 to 351 of the family's 1533-position model. Lineage: Bacteria; Bacillati; Bacillota. The record is from RNAcentral.
GACGAACGCUGGCGGCGUGCUUAACACAUGCAAGUUGAACGGGGAUAAUGAUUUCGGUUGUUAUCCUAGUAGCGGACGGGUGAGUAACGCGUGAGUAACCUACCUUUGUGAGGGGGACAACAGCUGGAAACGGCUGCUAAUACCGCAUAAGGCCACGACCUCGAGUGAGGAUGUGGUAAAAGAUUUAUCGCACAGAGAUGGACUCGCGUCCCAUUAGCUAGUUGGUGAGGUAACGGCUCACCAAGGCGACGAUGGGUAGCCGACCUGAGAGGGUGAUCGGCCACACUGGAACUGAGACACGGUCCAGACUCCUACGGGAGGCAG